RNAcentral lists this ribosomal RNA (253 nucleotides) under uncultured bacterium. RNAcentral describes it as "partial 16S ribosomal RNA". It matches the Rfam family "Bacterial small subunit ribosomal RNA", at positions 524 to 776 of the family's 1533-position model. The record is from RNAcentral.
GACGUAGGUGGCAAGCGUUGUCCGGAUUUACUGGGCGUAAAGAGCGCGCAGGCGGUCGUUCAAGUCGCGUGUGAAAGCCCCCGGCUCAACUGGGGAGGGUCACUCGAUACUGAUCGACUUGAAGGCAGGAGAGGGAAGCGGAAUUCCCGGUGUAGUGGUGAAAUGCGUAGAUAUCGGGAGGAACACCAGUGGCGAAGGCGGCUUCCUGGCCUGUUCUUGACGCUGAGGCGCGAAAGCUAGGGGAGCAAACGGG